This 220-nucleotide long non-coding RNA is filed under the name Homo sapiens (human). Its description in RNAcentral is "long non-coding RNA NONHSAT101655.2". Lineage: Eukaryota; Metazoa; Chordata; Mammalia; Primates; Hominidae. The record is from RNAcentral.
GGCAGCGCUGGAAACUGGGUGGACGGCAUGGGUUGGUCUCAGGAUUUGUUCCGCGCCUUGUGGAGAUCGCUGUCAAGGGAAGUGAAGGAGCACGUGGGCACGGACCAAUUCGGGAACAAAUACUACUACAUCCCGCAGUACAAGAACUGGAGAGACAAACUAUUCGAGAGAAAAGAAUUGUAGAAGCAGCAAAUAAAAAAGAAGUAGACUAUGAAGCAGG